AUAAAAUUGAUGACGAGAAGAGUAAGAUGAGUGCCCUGUUCUACAGAGAGUCGGUAAAUGGUGCAAGCCGAUGUUCAGAACUGAUCCGAAAAUCAUCUCCGAGAUGCAAUGCUGAAAUGAUUCAGUAAGUAUUGCCGGGUUGUCCGCCGUUAAAAGGAACGCGUAUGAUUGUACGUUGAUUGAGUGCCGUAUAAGUGGAUUUUUCUAUCCACGAGCGGAACUAGGGUGGUAUCGCGAGCUAAACUCGUCCCUAUU
This 255-nucleotide non-coding RNA is filed under the name Mesobacillus selenatarsenatis. RNAcentral describes it as "Bacillus selenatarsenatis T-box sequence". It matches the Rfam family "T-box leader". Rfam says of the family: Uncharged tRNA acts as the effector for transcription antitermination of genes in the T-box leader family. T-boxes are found upstream of many aminoacyl-tRNA synthetase genes and some amino acid biosynthetic genes usually in Gram-positive bacteria. The anticodon of a specific tRNA base pairs to a specifier sequence within the T-box motif, and the NCCA acceptor tail of the tRNA base pairs to a conserved bulge in the T-box antiterminator hairpin. The record is from RNAcentral. Lineage: Bacteria; Bacillati; Bacillota; Bacilli; Caryophanales; Bacillaceae.